RNAcentral lists this ribosomal RNA (254 nucleotides) under uncultured bacterium. Its description in RNAcentral is "partial 16S ribosomal RNA". It matches the Rfam family "Bacterial small subunit ribosomal RNA", at positions 524 to 776 of the family's 1533-position model. The record is from RNAcentral.
UACGAAGGGGGCUAGCGUUGCCCGGAAUCACUGGGCGUAAAGGGCGCGUAGGCGGCCUGUGCAAGUCAGUUGUGAAAUCUCCGGGCUUAACUCGGAACGGUCAACUGAUACUGCUCGGCUAGAGUGCGGAAGGGGCAACUGGAAUUCUUGGUGUAGCGGUGAAAUGCGUAGAUAUCAAGAGGAACACCUGCGGCGAAGGCGGGUUGCUGGGCCGACACUGACGCUGAUGCGCGAAAGCUAGGGGAGCGAACGGG